AGCAGCCGCGGUAAUUCCAGCUCCAAUAGCGUAUAUUAAAGUUGUUGCAGUUAAAAAGCUCGUAGUUGAAUUUCGGGGUUCCACCGUUGGUCGGGCUAUUGUCUGUACUGGCGUGUGGAAUUUCUACCUUCUGGGGAACUAUCAUGUUAUUAAUUUAGCGUGGUAGGAAACCAGGACCUUUACCUUGAAAAAAUUAGAGUGUUCAAAGCAGGCUUAUGUCUGAAUACAUUAGCAUGGAAUAAUAAAAUAGGACGGUGGUCCUGUUUUGUUGGUUUCUGAAUCACCGUAAUGAUUAAUAGGGAUAGUUGGGGGCAUUAGUAUUCAAUUGUCAGAGGUGAAAUUCUUGGAUUUAUUGAAGACUAACUACUGCGAAAGCAUUUGCCAAGGAUGUUUUCAUUAAUCAAGAACGAAAGUUAGGGGAUCGAAGACGAUCAGAUACCGUCGUAGUCUUAACCAUAAACUAUGCCGAC
Molecule: unclassified non-coding RNA, 470 nt
Filed under: uncultured Glomus
Lineage: Eukaryota; Fungi; Glomeromycota; Glomeromycetes; Glomerales; Glomeraceae
Description: SSU rRNA
Rfam family: Eukaryotic small subunit ribosomal RNA
Source: RNAcentral